RNAcentral lists this ribosomal RNA (277 nucleotides) under uncultured Lentisphaerota bacterium. Its description in RNAcentral is "uncultured Lentisphaerae bacterium partial 16S ribosomal RNA". It matches the Rfam family "Bacterial small subunit ribosomal RNA", at positions 1113 to 1382 of the family's 1533-position model. Lineage: Bacteria; Pseudomonadati; Lentisphaerota. The record is from RNAcentral.
AGUUGCACCGACGGCGUAAAGUCGUCGAGCACUCUAGACAGACUGCCUGUACAAGCAGGAGGAAGGUGGGGGAGUGACGUCAAGUCAGUAUGGCCCUUACGCCCUGGGCUGCACACGUGCUACAAUGGUCGGUACAGAAGGAUGCAAGACCGCGAGGUGGAGCAAAUCCCCAAAACCGGCCCCAGUUCGGAUUGGAGUCUGCAACUCGACUCCAUGAAGUUGGAUUCGCUAGUAAUGGCGCAUCAGCUACGGCGCCAUGAAUACGUUCCCGGGCCUU